Vicia faba (fava bean) is the source of this 261-nucleotide non-coding RNA. The record is from the annotation of a GenBank genome assembly. NCBI's taxonomy places the organism in Eukaryota, Viridiplantae, Streptophyta, Magnoliopsida, Fabales, Fabaceae.
AUGUUGACAAUAGAGUGGAAAACAUUGACAAGGGAGUAUAGUAACAAUAGCUCAACUGGGUCGGUUCAGUUUCCUCCAUUAAAGCUUCUUCAAGAAAAAAGAUGCUAUCUUGAAGAAGAAAUAAACAGUGUUGAGUACUGUGCUAAAAGUAAAGUAGAGAGAGAGAGAGAGAAGAACCAACGAAUUUGGUUUCAACUGUGUUCUCUUUCCUAUCGAGAACUUUUUCUAUAUAUGAUGAAGAAGAAGUGUUCGGAGAAUUAA